GCCACGGCUAACUACGUGCCAGCAGCCGCGGUAAUACGUAGGUGGCAAGCGUUGUCCGGAAUUAUUGGGCGUAAAGCGCGCGCAGGUGGUUUCUUAAGUCUGAUGUGAAAGCCCACGGCUCAACCGUGGAAGGUCAUUGGAAACUGGGAGACUUGAGUGCAGAAGAGGAAAGUGGAAUUCCAAGUGUAGCGGUGAAAUGCGUAGAGAUUUGGAGGAACACCAGUGGCGAAGGCGACUUUCUGGUCUGUAACUGACACUGAGGCGCGAAAGCGUGGGGAGCAAACAGGAUUAGAUACCCUGGUAGUCCACGCCGUAAACGAUGAGUGCUAAGUGUUAGGGGGUUUCCGCCCCUUAGUGCUGCAGCUAACGCAUUAAGCACUCCGCCUGGGGAGUACGGUCGCA
This 402-nucleotide ribosomal RNA is filed under the name uncultured bacterium. RNAcentral describes it as "bacterial SSU rRNA". It matches the Rfam family "Bacterial small subunit ribosomal RNA", at positions 490 to 890 of the family's 1533-position model. The record is from RNAcentral.